This 431-nucleotide ribosomal RNA is filed under the name uncultured bacterium. RNAcentral describes it as "partial 16S ribosomal RNA". It matches the Rfam family "Bacterial small subunit ribosomal RNA", at positions 338 to 795 of the family's 1533-position model. The record is from RNAcentral.
CCUACGGGUGGCAGCAGUCGAGAAUUUUUCACAAUGGGCGCAAGCCUGAUGGAGCGACGCCGCGUGGGGGAUGAAUGGCUUCGGCCCGUAAACCCCUGCAUGACAAUAUUUAGUAGCGAAAGAGGAAGGGACGGCUAACUCUGUGCCAGCAGCCGCGGUAAUACAGAGGUCCCGAGCGUUGUUCGGAUUCACUGGGCGUAAAGGGUGCGUAGGUGGCGAGGUAAGUCGGAUGUGAAAGCUCGGAGCUCAACUCCGAAAUGGCAUUGGAAACUACCUUGCUUGAGGGUUGGAGGGGGGACUGGAAUACUUGGUGUAGCAGUGAAAUGCGUAGAUAUCAAGUGGAACACCAGUGGCGAAGGCGAGUCCCUGGACAAUCUGACACUGAGGCACGAAAGCUAGGGGAGCAAACAGGAUUAGAUACCCUUGUAGUC